CGAACGCUGGCGGCGUGCUUAACACAUGCAAGUCGAACGGUGAAGCGCCUUCCUUUUUGGUGGGUGUGGAUGAGUGGCGAACGGGUGAGUAACACGUGAGUAACCUGCCCCCUUCUUCUGGAUAACCGCAUGAAAGUGUGGCUAAUACGGGAUAUUCUGGGUCUGUCGCAUGAUGGGUCUGGGAAAGAUAUUGUUUCGGUGGGGGAUGGGCUCGCGGCCUAUCAGCUUGUUGGUGGGGUGAUGGCCUACCAAGGCGGUGACGGGUAGCCGGCCUGAGAGGGUGGACGGUCACACUGGGACUGAGACACGGCCCAGACUCCUACGGGAGGCAGCAGUGGGGAAUAGUGCACAAUGGGCGCAAGCCUGAUGCAGCGACGCCGCGUGAGGGAUGGAGGCCUUCGGGUUGUGAACCUCUUUCGCCAGUGAAGCAGGCCUGCCUCGUUUGUGGGUGGGUUGACGGUAGCUGGAGAAGAAGCGCCGGCUAACUACGUG
This 492-nucleotide ribosomal RNA is filed under the name uncultured bacterium. RNAcentral describes it as "partial 16S ribosomal RNA". It matches the Rfam family "Bacterial small subunit ribosomal RNA", at positions 30 to 507 of the family's 1533-position model. The record is from RNAcentral.